AGUGAACGCUGGCGGUAGGCCUAACACAUGCAAGUCGAACGGCAGCACAGUAAGAGCUUGCUCUUACGGGUGGCGAGUGGCGGACGGGUGAGGAAUACAUCGGAAUCUACUUUUUCGUGGGGGAUAACGUAGGGAAACUUACGCUAAUACCGCAUACGACCUACGGGUGAAAGCAGGGGAUCUUCGGACCUUGCGCGAUUGAAUGAGCCGAUGUCGGAUUAGCUAGUUGGCGGGGUAAAGGCCCACCAAGGCGACGAUCCGUAGCUGGUCUGAGAGGAUGAUCAGCCACCCUUGAACUUAGACACGGUCCAGACUCCUACGGGAGGCCGCCGUGGGGAAUAUUGGACCAUGGGCCCAAGCCCGAUCCCGCCCUACCGCGUGGGUGAAGGAGGCCUUCGGGUUGUAAAGCCCUUUUGUUGGGAAAGAAAAGCCGCAGGUUUAUACCCCGCUGUUCUGACGGUACCCAAAGAAUAAGCACCGGCUAACUUCGUG
This 492-nucleotide ribosomal RNA is filed under the name uncultured bacterium. Its description in RNAcentral is "partial 16S ribosomal RNA". It matches the Rfam family "Bacterial small subunit ribosomal RNA", at positions 29 to 507 of the family's 1533-position model. The record is from RNAcentral.